This 355-nucleotide unclassified non-coding RNA is filed under the name soil metagenome. RNAcentral describes it as "partial contains 5.8S ribosomal RNA, internal transcribed spacer 2, and large subunit ribosomal RNA". The stretch from base 1 to 120 matches the Rfam family "5.8S ribosomal RNA", at positions 35 to 154 of the family's 154-position model. The record is from RNAcentral.
GAUGAAGAACGUAGCGAAAUGCGAUAAGUAAUGCGAAUUGCAGAAUUCAGUGAAUCAUCGAAUCUUUGAACGCACAUUGCGCCCGCUAGUAUUCUGGCGGGCAUGCCUGUCUGAGCGUCAUUUCAACCCUCGCCCCCGGCUUUUGCUGGGAGCGGUGUUGGGGAUCGGCCGCCCGUCACUGGGAGGCCGGCCCCGAAAUAGAGUGGCGACCACGCCGUGUGCUCCUCUGCGUAGUAGUAAAUCACCUCGCAGGCGGACAGCGGUGCGGCCUGCCGUAAAACCCCCAACUCUUUUUGGUUGACCUCAGAUCAGGUAGGAAUACCCGCUGAACUUAAGCAUAUCAAUAAGCGGAGGA